CUGGCCCUGAAUCAAGGCCGGCAGCUUCCUGACGCUGUUGGUUUCAAGCAGGUGCCUAAAGAGACGUUUUUCUAUGGUCUGCCGGCCAUUUUAGAACUUGGGCGGUUAAAUGGCCAGUUCAUUAGAAACAGCUUGA
Molecule: small nucleolar RNA, 136 nt
Organism: Cavia aperea (Brazilian guinea pig)
Lineage: Eukaryota; Metazoa; Chordata; Mammalia; Rodentia; Caviidae
Source: Ensembl